GAUCAUGGCUCAGGAUGAACGCUGGCGGCGCGCCUAACACAUGCAAGUCGAACGGCACCUAUCUUCGGAUAGAAGCGAGUGGCGAACGGCUGAGUAACACGUGGAGAACCUGCCCCCUCCCCCGGGAUAGCCGCCCGAAAGGACGGGUAAUACCGGAUACCCCGGGGUGCCGCAUGGCACCCCCGGCUAAAGCCCCGACGGGAGGGGAUGGCUCCGCGGCCCAUCAGGUAGACGGCGGGGUGACGGCCCACCGUGCCGACAACGGGGUAGCCGGGG
Molecule: ribosomal RNA, 276 nt
Filed under: uncultured bacterium
Lineage: Bacteria
Description: partial 16S ribosomal RNA
Rfam family: Bacterial small subunit ribosomal RNA
Source: RNAcentral